Molecule: ribosomal RNA, 236 nt
Filed under: uncultured bacterium
Lineage: Bacteria
Description: partial 16S ribosomal RNA
Rfam family: Bacterial small subunit ribosomal RNA
Source: RNAcentral
CCGGCACGGGUGAGUAACACGUAUCCAACCUGCCGUCUACUCUUGGACAGCCUUCUGAAAGGAAGAUAAUACAAGAUGGCAUCAUGAGUUCACAUGUUCACAUGAUUAAAGGUAUUCCGGUAGACGAUGGGGAUGCGUUCCAUUAGAUAGUAGGCGGGGUAACGGCCCACCUAGUCUUCGAUGGAUAGGGGUUCUGAGAGGAAGGUCCCCCACAUUGGAACUGAGACACGGUCCAA